AUGGUUUUCCCAGGAAGGGGAAGGAUCCGUGUCGAUGCUGACAGUGUUCAGAGGGUAUUUGAUCUCCCAAACAAGGGUCCAAAAGUCAGAUAUUUAGUUGACAAGGAUGCUACUAGGAGAUUCAGACAGGCUUUCAACAUAACUGGAAAUUCUCAUCCCCAGAUCACUACAUGGCUCAAGAUGAUUGAGCAUAUGGCUGGAAGAACGGAUGACACAUUUUUUAUGGCCUGGCUUGCGAUACUAUACCUUGAUGCGCUCGUACAUGACAUCCCAGUAAGCAACUGCGCGAUACGAUCGAAUGCAUGGGAUAGUACUCUAAUUGCCAAGGUGAUCAAGAAGGAUACUAUCUCUCCUGGUGUGUUCGGCAAAUUACAACUUAAAGAGGAGUAUAGAGGCACGGAGCAGACACCACUGUUUGGUGGAAUUUUGCAAGCUGAAGCAUUUGUGGCAUCCAAGUUACCAAUAACAUACAAUCCGCAGAAAAAGGCAAAAAUUGCGAAAGUGGUCAAUGAGCUAUGCAAGGCUGUAACUGAACAGGUUGGCACCUUCAUUAAAGAAGUUGCCAAGAUUGAUGACGAGGAACCAGAUAUUGAUCCUUACGAGAUGCCCUGGUCCUUGAACCCUUACGAAGAUCAAACUCUUAUCAUGGUGACGGGUUCUGCGAUGCACCAUCUUUUGACCUCGGCAUAG
This 690-nucleotide ribosomal RNA is filed under the name Triticum aestivum (bread wheat). RNAcentral's name for it is "partial small subunit ribosomal RNA". Lineage: Eukaryota; Viridiplantae; Streptophyta; Magnoliopsida; Poales; Poaceae. The record is from RNAcentral.